This 467-nucleotide ribosomal RNA is filed under the name uncultured bacterium. RNAcentral's name for it is "partial 16S ribosomal RNA". It matches the Rfam family "Bacterial small subunit ribosomal RNA", at positions 28 to 506 of the family's 1533-position model. The record is from RNAcentral.
GACGAACGCUGGCGGCGUGCUUAACACAUGCAAGUCGAACGGAAAGGCCCUGCUUUUGUGGGGUGCUCGAGUGGCGAACGGGUGAGUAACACGUGAGUAACCUGCCCUUGACUUUGGGAUAACUUCAGGAAACUGGGGCUAAUACCGGAUAGGAGCUCCUGCUGCAUGGUGGGGGUUGGAAAGUUUCGGCGGUUGGGGAUGGACUCGCGGCUUAUCAGCUUAUUGGUGGGGUAGUGGCUUACCAAGGCUUUGACGGGUAGCCGGCCUGAGAGGGUGACCGGCCACAUGGGGACUGAGAUACGGCCCAGACUCCUACGGGAGGCAGCAGUGGGGAAUAUUGCACAAUGGGCGGAAGCCUGAUGCAGCAACGCCGCGUGCGGGAGGACGGCCUUCGGGUUGUAAACCGCUUUCGCCUGUGACGAAGCGUGAGUGACGGUAAUGGGUAAAGAAGCACCGGCUAACUACGU